RNAcentral lists this small nuclear RNA (106 nucleotides) under Sciurus vulgaris (Eurasian red squirrel). Its description in RNAcentral is "U4 spliceosomal RNA (ENSSVLG00005015611.1)". The stretch from base 1 to 65 matches the Rfam family "U4 spliceosomal RNA". Rfam says of the family: U4 small nuclear RNA (U4 snRNA) is a component of the major U2-dependent spliceosome. The structure of U4 snRNA from yeast and human has been reported. The record is from RNAcentral. Lineage: Eukaryota; Metazoa; Chordata; Mammalia; Rodentia; Sciuridae.
AGCUUUGCACAGUGGCAGUAUCGUAGCCAAUGAGGUUUAUCCGAGGCGCGAUUAUUGCUAAUUGUGCACAGAACCACUAAAUGACACUGCAGGAAAUCCCUUGGGU